This 116-nucleotide small nuclear RNA is filed under the name Loa loa (African eye worm). Its description in RNAcentral is "U5 spliceosomal RNA". It matches the Rfam family "U5 spliceosomal RNA". From Rfam's summary of the family: U5 RNA is a component of both types of known spliceosome. The record is from RNAcentral. Lineage: Eukaryota; Metazoa; Nematoda; Chromadorea; Rhabditida; Onchocercidae.
GUUAUCUUGCUCUCCUGCAUUUGACCGUGAAAAUCUUUCGCCUUUUACUAAAGAUUUCCGUGCAGGAGAGCAUUCAUGAUUGUAAAAGUACUUUUUGGAAGCCCUACAAUGGGCAA